GCCCAACAGCUAGCCCACCUAAACAAUUUCAACAAACCCUUGUUAAUAACCCCUAAGUACCCCAGUAUUUAAAUUAAACAAACCAUUUUUCCCCCUUAGUAUAGGCGAUAGAAAAGGAACUACGGCGCUAUAGAGAAAGUACCGCAAGGGAAUGCUGAAAGAGAAGUGAAACAACCCAGUAAAGCCUAAAAAAGCAGAGAUUCAAGCUCGUACCUUUUGCAUCAUGAUUUAGCGAGUGUACCCCAAGCAAAGCGUACUUUAGUUUGACGUCCCGAAACUACGUGAGCUACUCCAAGACAGCCUAUUAAUAGGGCGUACCCGUCUCUGUGGCAAAAGAGUGGGGCGAGCUUUGAGUAGAGGUGAUAAACCUACCGAACCUAGUUAUAGCUGGUUGUCCAAGAAAUGAAUAGAAGUUCAGCCUCUUGGCUUCUCUUUUCGCCCUAGUCUAACCCCUAUUGAUGCACGAAGAAACCGAGAGAGUUAGUCAAAGGGGGUACAGCCCCUUUGAAUCAAGACACAACUUUACCAGGCGGGU
Molecule: ribosomal RNA, 535 nt
Filed under: Triglops sp. KT-2016
Lineage: Eukaryota; Metazoa; Chordata; Actinopteri; Perciformes; Cottidae
Description: partial 16S ribosomal RNA
Rfam family: Bacterial large subunit ribosomal RNA
Source: RNAcentral